Molecule: long non-coding RNA, 615 nt
Filed under: Daphnia magna
Lineage: Eukaryota; Metazoa; Arthropoda; Branchiopoda; Diplostraca; Daphniidae
Description: uncharacterized LOC116932300, transcript variant X2
Source: RNAcentral
GCCAUUGUUAUUUCAGUUGUGAUCUGUGAGUCAAUUUACUGUCUGUCAAUCGUGCACGUCUGAUCAUACUUAGUGUUGUCUGUUCGUGAAACUUGUGAUUGUGAUUGCAUGCUUGGUGGCAAUUGUUUGCGUGUGCAAGCCUAAUUCCACACACGCCGACAUUGUCCAUAAUCUAUUCCUUGUAUGGUGAGAAUAUACCCUGUCCAAGGCAGCAAACUUACUGAUUUAGUCAGAGCUUCAGAACAGUGAUACCACUGCAGUCCUAUACCAAAGAAGAGCAUAGUAUUAAAAUUUUGGACGACAAGGGCAAGAAGGGUGCUCAACAAUUGAACAAUUCCUGCAGAAAAUGAAAAUAGAAGAGUUGAAGACUAUUAUAGGACUCAAGGGAGUGCGACUAGUUAGGAAGGGAGAAAAACUAGAAUGUGUCACAUAUUCUGACACAAUUAUAGAUAUCGAUCCAGCAUCCAAGCACACUGAAAAACUAAAAAAAUGGAUGGCUGACGAAAGUUCAGAAGAAGAAACUGCUGAAGCCACUAAGUAAAUAAUGUUUUCUAUUAAAAUUGACUCGGCAACUUUCUCAAAAUCAAAAUGACUAAUAAAUGUGAAUGAAGUGAA